GUUUGAGUGAUGACUCAGCAAUUUGUCGGAUACCCCUUCACUCUUCUUAUGAGUGAGAAUAGCAGUCUGACAAAC
Molecule: small nucleolar RNA, 75 nt
Filed under: Columba livia (rock pigeon)
Lineage: Eukaryota; Metazoa; Chordata; Aves; Columbiformes; Columbidae
Also listed under: 2 other names
Description: Small nucleolar RNA SNORD101
Rfam family: Small nucleolar RNA SNORD101
About the family: snoRNA U101 is a member of the C/D class of snoRNA which contain the C (UGAUGA) and D (CUGA) box motifs and guide the 2'-O-methylation of rRNA and snRNAs.
Source: Rfam by way of RNAcentral